AUGCACCUCCCAAAACCACUGGCACUCCUGAACAACCAGCUGAGUGUGGCCAUCCGGAUGCCUCCCCUCGAGCUUGAGGAGGAGCCGCUGGCCCUGCUCCUGCAGACUGUGCUCUCCUCCUGUGGGCCACCUGCAGCUGGACAGGCAUCGCCCAUGGUCCCACUGUUCCCCCGAGGCCUCGCACAGGACGUGACCGGCUACUGUGCCAACGGGUUUGGCCUGGGCUGCCCCAUGGAAGGAGCCCCAUCCUGCACCCAGAGCCUGCUGGGACAUGCCUUGGGCUCCCAGGUCCCAUCACAGCUGGAAAAAGAUGAGGAGACAAGUGAUGGGGAUGAUGUGCCGGAGCAGCUGGUGCCAGUGGGACUGACCAGAAACAGCUACAUAGGUGACAGGGACAGCCGUGCACCCGAGACAUGGCUCACCCCGCACCUCCAGCUGUAUUCUAAAUGCCAGUGCCCAGCCCUGGGAGCAGGCAGACGCCUUCCUCUGCCCAUGCCCGGCAGGAGCUGCAGUCAGGAGGACCUGCGGGAGGGCCUCGGCAUGGCCAGGCACUGGGUCCCACUCAGCUCCGUGAAGCUGCCGGCCAGUGAGGAGGAGGAGGGAGGGCAGCUCCUCUGUGCUCUCCGGCCCCUGCCUGGCAUGGGGACUGAGCCAGGCAACAGCACCAUGCAGCGAGGCCACUCAGAGCAGGCAGCACCGGGCAUCCCCAGCCCCUACCAGCCACCACCUUCGCCCGGCAACGUCCCGCGGGCAGCUGCCUUCUCCGGCUAUGAGCCACGUGCCCCACCUGGGCCACCGUGAGGGGGGGCACCCUGGGGAUCUCCAGGAGCCCCCAGCUCCCAGCACAGCCCAAGGUGCCCCCCAGCCACGGUGGCUGCCUGCCCCAACCUGCUGGUGCCAGGCUGGGGACAGGGCAGGGGCAGGUUCCCACGGGCAGGCACAGGAGUGCUCCAGGCUCAGCUGCCAUGGAUGGGCAGGAUCCGCAUCUCCAGAGCUUCCCUUCCAGGCUUUUGGUGCUAUGGAGCCAAAGCAUAAGGAGAAGAGACCAAAGUUCAACUCCCAAAACUCUUAUCUAUUUAUCUACUUGUAUGUGUGUAUAUGUGGUACAGUAUCUAUACUAAUGCAAAUUUAUGUAACACUCAUAUAUAAGCCCUCUUUAAUGAAAGAGAUUGGGGUUUUUUACUUCUCUGGAAAUACUGACUGUGUGCUGGAGUUGUUUUUAAAUAUCACUCAUUUAUUACAGAAAGCUGGUUUCUGUGCUCACUGUUUCUGUGUUACAGACCCAGCACGGCCGUGUCUGAACAGCAGCUGGGAAAGGCACUGGGAAAACCGGGGGAAGGUCAGCAAACCCUUUCUGUCCUGAUACCUUUCGUUUGAGACUGGUGACUAAAACGUUUCCACCUUUGG
RNAcentral lists this long non-coding RNA (1407 nucleotides) under Manacus vitellinus (golden-collared manakin). RNAcentral's name for it is "lncRNA (ENSMVIG00005009385.1)". Lineage: Eukaryota; Metazoa; Chordata; Aves; Passeriformes; Pipridae. The record is from RNAcentral.